AGACCGUUCUCUUCAGAGGCCGGUCAUUGGAAUGGGUACAAUUUAAACCCUUUAACGAGUAUCUAUGAGAGGGCAAGUCUGGUGCCAGCAGCCGCGGUAAUUCCAGCUCUCAAAAUGCAUGGAAUCAUUGCUGCGGUUAAAAAGCUCGUAGUUGGAUCUGUGCUGGCGGGUCGGUCCACCUUCGGGUGCGCACUGAUUUCGCCGGCUUUCCUGCUGUAUUUGGCCCUGUGCCUUUCAACGGGUGCAGUGUCCAGUGCAGCAAGUUUUACCUUGAACAAAUCAGAGUGCUUCAAACAGGCGUUUCGCUUGAAUGUUCGUGCAUGGAAUAAUAGAAGAGGAUUUCGGUACUAUUUUAUUGGUUUUAUAGACUGAGAUAAUGGUUAACAGAGACUAACGGGGGCAUUAGUAUUGCUACGUGAGAGGUGAAAUUCUUGGACCGUAGCAAGACUGACUACAGCGAAAGCAUUUGCCAAGAAAGUCUUCAUUAAUCAAGAACGAAAGUCAGAGGUUCGAAGGCGAUCAGAUACCGCCCUAGUUCUGACCGUAAACGAUGCCAACUAGUGAUCCGCCGGUGGAACAUUCGCCCUGGUGGGGAACUUCCCGGAAACGAAAGUCUUCCGGUUCCGGGGGAAGUAUGGUUGCAAAGCUGAAACUUAAAGGAAUUGACGGAAGGGCACCACCAGGAGUGGAGCCUGCGGCUUAAUUUGACCCAACACGGGAAAACUCACCCGGCCCGGACACCGUAAGGAUUGACAGAUUGAUAGCUCUUUCAUGAUUCGGUGGAUGGUGGUGCAUGGCCGUUCUUAGUUCGUGGAGCGAUUUGUCUGGUUUAUUCCGAUAACGAGCGAGACUCUGCCUACUAAAUAGUUUACACAUUGCUUCUGUGUGCAUAACUUCUUAGAGGGAUUUUCGGUGUUCAGCCGCAAGAAAUUGAGCAAUAACAGGUCUGUGAUGCCCUUAGAUGUCCGGGGCUGCACGCGCGCUACACUGGCAAAAUCAGCGUGCUUGUCCUUCCCCGAAAGGGGUUGGUAAACUCGUGAAAAUUUGCCGUGAUUGGGAUCGGAAAUUGCAAUUAUUUUCCGUGAACGAGGAAUUCCAAGUAAGUGCGAGUCAUCAACUCGCGUUGAUUACGUCCCUGCCCUUUGUACACACCGCCCGUCGCUGCCCGGGACUGAGCCGUUUCGAGAAACUUGGAGACCGCUGAUCUGGUAACUUCGAUUGCCAUUUUGGUGGGAACCAAUUUAA
RNAcentral lists this ribosomal RNA (1245 nucleotides) under metagenome. Its description in RNAcentral is "SSU rRNA". It matches the Rfam family "Eukaryotic small subunit ribosomal RNA", at positions 483 to 1762 of the family's 1831-position model. The record is from RNAcentral.